Long non-coding RNA from Cyprinus carpio (common carp), 712 nucleotides. RefSeq lists it as uncharacterized. NCBI's taxonomy places the organism in Eukaryota, Metazoa, Chordata, Actinopteri, Cypriniformes, Cyprinidae. The record is from RefSeq and is a predicted model, not a curated record. The transcript has 3 exons.
UAGGAGUCUUCUGGAUGCAGAGAAUGUGCUGUAGCGUGCUGAUGCUCUAAGGAUGCAAGUGAUGGUCCUGAUGCAGGGGAGACUGGGGGAGGAGCUGCGGAGGGUGAUGAUGUCAACGCUCUGACCAAUCACUGAGAAGGUCAAUGGAGCUUAUCCCAGCAUCUCGGGUCACAGGCGGGGGACACUCUGAAUGGAUGGCCAGUCCAUCAAAGGGCUCACACAUAUUCGCACCUAUGGGAAAGCCAUGAAACCCAUGUAGACACAGGGAGAUCAUACAUACCUAAAUAAUGGCAAAUGCUGACAGACAUCCAGGAGAGCUGAAUCAUAGAUGCUCACCGACCUUGAAACUCACAGCAAAGGAAAGACCAGCCAGGCCUGUUUCUCCAUGUGAUCACUCCAGGCUCAUAAAGAGAAAUUACAGAGUUGUCCAGCCAACAGAAUAUCAUUGUUGAACAUAUUGGGCCAAAAAUGCUUUUUGCAGUGUUACCGGAGAAUAGGGCCUCUAACAGGACAUGAAAAAUUCUGUCUAAAUUGAGCUGUGAUUAAGUUAUGUCCACUCUCAGGCAAUGGUCAUUUAAAGUACACUUUGGCUUCAAUAAUUGAUGUUGCUCAAAGAAAACUCUAUGAGCCAAAAGUGAACUGCUGACUACUGAAGUUUUCAAAUGAACCAACUUAAUUUAAUAAAUGACAGUAUAUACUUUCACAAAGUGCU